RNAcentral lists this ribosomal RNA (253 nucleotides) under uncultured bacterium. Its description in RNAcentral is "partial 16S ribosomal RNA". It matches the Rfam family "Bacterial small subunit ribosomal RNA", at positions 524 to 776 of the family's 1533-position model. The record is from RNAcentral.
UACGUAGGGACCAAGCGUUGUCCGGAAUCAUUGGGCGUAAAGAGCGUGUAGGCGGCUUGUUAAGUCUUGCGUGAAAUCUCGGGGCUCAACCCCGAGCGGUCGUGAGAAACUGGCAGGCUAGAGUGCGGGAGAGGAGAGUGGAAUUCCUGGUGUAGCGGUGAAAUGCGCAGAUAUCGGGAGGAACACCAGUGGCGAAGGCGGCCGCCUGGCCUGUAACUGACGCUGAGACGCGAAAGCGUGGGGAGCGAACCGG